GUUGGGCGUUGUGACGGGCACCUGUAGUCCUAGCUACUUGGGAGGCUGAGGCAAGAGAAUCACUAGCCCAAGAGUUUGAGGUUGCUGUGAGCUGUGACACCAUAGCACUCUACCGAGGGUGACAUAGUAAGGCUCUGUCUCAAAAAAAGAGGAGUAUUCUUUGUCUUUUCUUUCUUUUUUCUUUUUGUUUUGUUUUGUUUUUGAGACAGUCUUACUAUGUUGCUCUGGGUAGAGUGUCAUGAUGUCACAGUUCACAGCAACCUCGAACUCUUGGGCUUAAGUGAUUCUCUUGCCUCAG
RNAcentral lists this signal recognition particle RNA (298 nucleotides) under Otolemur garnettii (small-eared galago). RNAcentral describes it as "Metazoan signal recognition particle RNA". It matches the Rfam family "Metazoan signal recognition particle RNA". From Rfam's summary of the family: The signal recognition particle (SRP) is a universally conserved ribonucleoprotein. Lineage: Eukaryota; Metazoa; Chordata; Mammalia; Primates; Galagidae. The record is from Rfam by way of RNAcentral.